Molecule: transfer RNA, 84 nt
Filed under: Pediculus humanus corporis (human body louse)
Lineage: Eukaryota; Metazoa; Arthropoda; Insecta; Psocodea; Pediculidae
Description: tRNA tRNA-Leu
Rfam family: tRNA
About the family: Transfer RNA (tRNA) molecules are approximately 80 nucleotides in length.
Source: Rfam by way of RNAcentral
GCCGGGUUGGCCGAGUGGUCUAAGGCGCCAGACUUAAGUUCUGGUUCCCAAGCGGGAGCGUGGGUUCGAACCCCACACCCGGCA